AGAAACAACAUACAUAGGCGAUGACGUGGCAGAAUAGUCAAUAUUUGAUGACGUAGACCACUUACUGGUAGAAGUAGACAGAUUACACGAGUUCCCGGUAUGAAUCGUCUGCUUUACGAGAUCGAUAACAUGACGGAGCAAGUGGCGACUUCUGAUCUGGUAAAUAUCAAUGAAAUUGAACUGCGUUAUAUGGGGCUCAGUCAACGAGUGCGUUUUGAACGUUUUCCUCGAUAUUGAAAUGGAGCCGAGUUGCAUUCCACUGUUCCAACGACACAGCCAGUGUUCAACGUCUCCUCCAACACGAUGCAGCAUAAAUCCAGUCACCGCUUGUUAUCUUCCUGUAUAUUUAAUUCAGCUUUUAACCAUUGCACCUUUAAUUUGGCGUAUAAUCCAUUUAAAUCUGCACAGUAACUGUUCCUGACCUGAACGCACAGCGAUGCCGUUUUGUUUUUGUUUUCAUUUGUGCCGUCCCGGCAAGAGUUAUCUUUUGACUUCUUUUAUAUUGACUUAUCUCUCUUUGGAUAUUGUUUAGUUAUGAACCGCCAUAUUUUUUGGUUACACGUUUUUCUGACCUCGUGUUCAAUAUCGCAAAUUGUGGCCCAUCACAGUCUUUUUACCAUCAACAUCAUUGUGUUAUCAUAAUAAAUUCAACUGAAACACUUU
This is a long non-coding RNA of Ostrea edulis (European flat oyster), 663 nucleotides long. RefSeq lists it as uncharacterized. The transcript has 2 exons. The record is from RefSeq and is a predicted model, not a curated record. Lineage: Eukaryota; Metazoa; Mollusca; Bivalvia; Ostreida; Ostreidae.